RNAcentral lists this long non-coding RNA (302 nucleotides) under Gallus gallus (chicken). RNAcentral describes it as "long non-coding RNA NONGGAT002783". The record is from RNAcentral. Lineage: Eukaryota; Metazoa; Chordata; Aves; Galliformes; Phasianidae.
GUUUGAAGGAAGGCACUCCACCCCACGCAGAAAGCUCAAAGGGGAGGACUGCUGUUAAGUUGGAAAAAAAAAAAAAAAAAACCUAAAGAUGGUUGGCAUAGCUUCCUUCCAUCUCUCAGGACUGAUGUGAUGCAGCAGGCUGCCCUCCAGGUCCCACCGCUACCCAAGUCCCCACCUCGCUCUGCCCGGCUCACCACUCCAGGAAUGGUUGAAAGAACAGAAACAUUGGACUUCUGACCUCCAUAGAGAAAAUGAUGAGCUUUGGCUCAUUUCUAUCAAUCACUCAGCAAUCUCAAGACACU